GAUGAACGCUGGCGGCGUGCCUAAUACAUGCAAGUCGAGCGAACGGACGAGAAGCUUGCUUCUCUGAUGUUAGCGGCGGACGGGUGAGUAACACGUGGAUAACCUACCUAUAAGACUGGGAUAACUUCGGGAAACCGGAGCUAAUACCGGAUGAUAUUUUGAACCGCAUGGUUCAAAAGUGAAAGACGGUCUUGCUGUCACUUAUAGAUGGAUCCGCGCUGCAUUAGCUAGUUGGUAAGGUAAUGGCUUACCAAGGCAACGAUGCAUAGCCGACCUGAGAGGGGGAUCGGCCACCCGAGAGCUUGACCACCGACCAUGGUCCUGCGGGAGGCAGCAGUAGGGAAUGUGCGGCAAUGGGCGGAAGCCUGACGGAGCAACGCCGCGUGAGUGAUGAAGGUCUUCGGAGCGUAAAGCUCGGUUAUUAGGGAAGAACAGAUGUGUAAGUAACUGUGCACAUCUUGACGGUACCUAAUAAAAAAGCCACGGCUAACUACGUG
Molecule: ribosomal RNA, 497 nt
Filed under: uncultured bacterium
Lineage: Bacteria
Description: partial 16S ribosomal RNA
Rfam family: Bacterial small subunit ribosomal RNA
Source: RNAcentral